GAAAUGAGGGGAAAUGAGGAAGGAGAGAAAGAGAGAAGGAGAGGAACUGGUCGGGUUCCCCUUCGACCCGUUACCCGAUUAUGAUUGGUGAGUUUCUCCAGCGAAAUUCAUCAUUUUUUCGAUGAAUUGGGUCGAUCUGCCACUCCCAAUCAUCAUCUCGGCCCUUCCUUUACCAAUUCUACACCAAAUUUGAGGAGAUGGGUUUAGAAUUGUGGGAAAUUUGCACCGGUGGGUACGUCAGGCUUCGAGGCGGCGAUCCAUCAAAUCCGAAGGUAACUCUGCCAACCACCACCACUAAUAGACUCCCCUUAACCCUAGUAACAAGACCCAACCGGUGGUAGGGGCGGUGGAUCACCGACGACGGCGAAUCAAAGCUCACCUAUUCUAGGGUUUCCGACGGGUGCGAGCUAAAUUGGGGCUUUUCCCAACCAAAUUGGACUUGGCCACAGGUAUAAAACUUGCUCUACUCAUUGGGCUUUUUCUGUGAAAUUUGGUAAUUUUUGGAAAUAGUUAAUUUUUCCGACGAGUCGGGGAGGUCGGUCGCCACGUGCGGCGACGCGUGGGCAGGGACACCACUUGACCUCCCUAGGCUAAAAUGCGUGCUCUGAUUCCACAUUAGACAUCUGAUUGAUGAAAUUCCAUUGUUUGGUUAUAUUUCCGUUAAGGGCCGCCACUUAGUUAUUAUAUGAUUCGACGAUCCGACCAUUGGAUCGUCACUAAACUUUAAUACGUAAUGGUACAUAAUAUUUAAGGAUAUUAAGAACUAACAGAUUAAGAAUUUGAUGUACGAAUCUUCUCAGAUGGGUUUUCUAAGUUUGUAAAUCUAAAUGUCAGCAACCACUUAAUUUUAGCGAUUGGCUGAGAUUCGACCGUUUGAUCAUUCGGAAACUUAGAAUGUUGUUCUAGAAGCUUAUUGAAACUCUUGGGAAUUUACGAAUCAUAAAUCCAAGGAGCGGAACUUCCGGAUUAAGUUACGUAGGGUUGUACCUUUGACCGACGAUUGACUUUUGGUUAAUGGGUUACAAAUCAUUAUAGAAUGUCCUUAGGGAUGUGUUUUAUGUAAGUUACACGUCUAUUGAUAAGAUUGUUCGUGACGCCUUGAUUUCGUGCUAGGGAGUUGUAGCGCAGACUUCAGGUAAGUAGGUAUUUUCUUUUAUAUAGUAUAUACAUAUUUGUUAGUUUCCAUUUAUUUAUUGAAAGAGAAUUUACUACGUAUGCCUAGCUUAGACUAAUGCUUAUAAGAAUUAAAGAAAUAGCGGAAAAUUACGAAGAGAUCAUAAUUUCUAGAAAUGUCUCGUGUGACAAUGUGGUGCUAAAACAGUAAAACUCGAUGGAAGAACAUCUUGGAACAAUCACUUUUGGUCCCCGAUAGCACUAAUCUUUUCAAACGCAUUAGUGAUAAUUCCGGAUCUUCAAGAGGAAGAUUGACUUCUGUUUAAGUCCGUUCUAAAGUAGAUGAAUAACAACUUCCUUUCCGGCUUUAGGACGUUCCGACUAAUGCUAGUUUUUUGAAUUUCUUUUGGUGAUGUACUCGUCAUUUUGACAAGCAUAGGCACAAUUGUACGAGUUGUUAUACCUAUGGUCAUUAGAAAACCCUGAAGUAGUAAGUAUUUUCCCUAGAAUUAAUGAAACCAACUCACAGGACCAAUUCCUUACUAAUCAUCUGAAACCAACUACCUAAGCUGGCUCUAGCCUGUAAUCAACCUAUAGUGGCGUUACUAAUUGACGAUAAUGUCCGAUAUCCAAGAACUGUUAACUAGUAUUCAAACAAUAUGAUUUCUAAUACCAGACAUAGGUGCUAGUAUCUGGGAGUGAUACCUUUAUACCAGAAUGUCGGUUCAUAGUUUCAGGGUAGCGAACAAUAUCAAAAAUAUCAUAUAUGCAUUAAUUAGCAGUGCGACUGAUAGACUGAUUAACAGUGACUACCUGAGCUGAAGAAAUCAAAUUAUGGAAACUUAGGAGCAAGUUUUGUAGGAGGACCAUAAACUCGCAGUUGGACAGUAAAAUUGGAGUACGAGUCGAUUUCUCACUGUUAGAGUGAUUUGAGUAUCAAGGAAGAUAUGAAGACCUAUUCGCAUAUGGCGUAGUGAAAGGAAGUAGUAUGUUACGUCCGAUGGCGUACACCUCUGGCGUUAUGUUCCAAAAUUUUACCUGGGAUAUCACCAAAUGGUGGAGUGAAGUACACCAUCGAUCCACUUUCUCGUACUACAUCAAUUUUUCCUUGCAUCCUUUCAAACAAGUCCUACAUAAUUGAGAGAACUUAGUUACUAAAGCUUAUUUAUUAGGAAAUUACCCAUCCAAACACUUUAUCUUGGGAACCUCAAACCCAUCCACGAAGGCGAAAGACCGAACCUUAGGAUCGUAUCUAGAUUUUAGCAACUCAAUCGGGUGACGAUUAAAAAUCGUUUAAACCCUACUUCGAGUCGAUGGUCUAGCCAACCAAACUUUGUAACUCGAGUUUUCUUCCAUAGCCUGAAAAAUUCAUAGUGGUCUUAUCGAUGACUUUCUCAUCUACCAUGGCAGUGAGCCCAAAUUCUCUAAACACUAAUAGUUAGCUUUAUACCAAAUUCUUCAAACUUGUUUAGAGCAGAUAUGUUUCUUGGGGAAAUGUGCUCUCAGUGGAUGAUAUUCUUUUCUUAUUCCUAAAAGGGUUUAGUGGAAGAAGGUUGAAAUUCUCACAAAGUGUUAUGAAAUUCAAGAUAUCUUCGAUCUUGUCGAUUUAUCGACAAUUUGUUAAGCAAUGUUUCGGCUAUAGUGUCUUUCCUCACUUACGACCGAGGAAAGUUAGUUUAGUUUGAGAUGUUGAAUAUGAGUAAAGUUUCUGACAACCGAAUUGUUGUCUCACUUUACCUCUGUUUUACACCUUUCGAUGACAUGGAUUAUUUCAAAAUCCACGGUGACGUUUUUCUUGGAUGUUUCGACCGUGUAGAGGAUGCAUGGCAGAGUAUCGUAUAUAUUUCCUAACAUGUAGAACCGUUCAACAUGAACCAUCUUAUUCAUGACUUAGAGUCAACAGUUACCAUAUUUACUUGAAAACCGAAUGCCACUUCUCUGUAGAGAAAUGUGUCCAAAAUCUCUAUUAAUCUUACACCUCAAACAAGUACAUAUCUAUUUGAAAAGAAUUAGAUUUCUAACAAUGGCAAUUGAGGAACUAAAUCAACAUCUAUGAUUACACAAUCGUGUAUCAUCCCCGUUGUGUAAACGUAAUUACUAUUUACUGCAAUAGUGUAAACGUAAUUACUGUUUACUGCAAUAAAAGACAUUAUCUACUCCCGAAAUGCUUUCAGCCUGUCCUAUUUCAUUUUAGUUGAAACUCACAAGCAUUGGGUUGACGUUACUUACAAAUUAUCAAGAAAUCGUUCGAGUGGUUAUACUCACUUUCUGUAUCCUAAUGGAGAUGGAAAAUAUCACCAUAAGCUCUUGGUACGAGGUAUCUUGUACAUGUGGAUUUUACGAUGAUGUUUUGGUGAUUAUCGACGGACUUGACAAGUUAGCUUACUUUCUGUUGGUCCAGAGGGACUACAUUUUAGAUCACUUGAGAAAAAUACUCAUUCUUGAAAUUAUUAGAUUUUUUUGACGUUUAGAUCAACAUCUACUUUGACUGUGAUUUCAUAUUCAUCUUUUGUGUCGGAAGGCAUUCUAGUCACCCUUGGGUACAUGUCUACCCUAGUGCACUUUGUACUAAUUUUGAAGCAAAUAGAAUGUUUAGGUGAAUCGCCCGAACAUUUAGAUUUUAGUUAUGACUAUUAAUUCCUCAAUCACCCAACAAAUACUCUGAUAAGUGAAUCUUUACUGUUGGUGAUUGAAUGUUCCAAAAGCUACUGUUGUAGUGAGAUGUCAUGCAUUAAUUUCAAUUACCUUGUAUUCUAGAUUUGAUGGACUUGUUUGACCCUUAAAUUCUUGAUUGUUCUUCUUGGCAUAGUUUUGCUAAACUUGAGGGAAAUUCAAUGUGAACCUGCUCACUAUGGCGUUAUGAACUGCAUUGUUUGGUUAUAUGGGGUGUGUGUGUGUGUGUGUGUGUGUGUGUAUGUCACUAUUAUAUCUCACUGUGACACGUGUUUCAUUUCCAAGUCUUGGGAAGCCUUCUUGAAGACUAGUCACGUACCACAUUUCACCCUUAGACUAAUGAUUAGUCUCAAACGAGCUACUCAAACCUUAGUGGACAUGUUGCAUUUUGUCCGUUCUACAAUUAGCAUGGUUGUAACACAUAGUUAUCUUUAUUUUAGUUGCUUGUAACUACGGUUACAAUUUUUUGUUUUGGGUAUAGCACUGUUGAGACUUAGUAUGGAAAUUUUAUGCAUAGCACAUGAUCAACAGAAGAGUGUUAUGAACAUGUAGUUGAAUGAUUGAGAUUACAAUGUAGCAAAUUGUGUGCUAUUUGUGUUGUCACCCAAGAGGGCAGUACGUGAGUGCGAUUGAGGUGCUAAUUAGAUGCUUUAUGUGUAUUUCCCAAUGAGGGGCAUGAUGGUAAUAUUGCACCCUCGAGAAUUUGUUACUUACUUAUCGAGACAACUGUGAGUUGUUGGUAUUGCAGCCUGCAGACUGUAAUAUCGAUAACUUAUUUGUUGGACUCGUUAAGCAAGUAGACAAGUAAGUCAUUCUACAUUGGCAUUUGUAUUUACUUAUUUAAUUAGUUAUUCAUUGUUUGGGCUCGACCCAAAAAUAUUACACACUUAUCUUCGGAGUACGUAACGCAACGAGUGUGUAGGUGAAAAUAGUCUAUGUUCAAUUUUAAUUUCAGUACAAUUACUUUAACUUUAUGUUAUUAUAUAUAAAUGGGAUAUGAUCAAGGGACAAAUAUUUUUACAAGCAUUUUUACACUUCUUUGGAGCCUUUAGAUUUUAUAACAUCCAAGGGUUCUUAUUUAUUCAUCGAGUGACUUGGAUACUUAUGUGGAUUUUAGCUAAUAUUAAAAAAAGAAUUGAAAAAACAUAAAAUCUAGAAGAAAAUUAAAAAAAUAUAUAUAUAUGUGUGUGUAUAUAUAUAUAUGUGUAUAUAUAUAUAUAUAUAUAUAAAGAAACCCUAAUCGUGAAAAUAAGAAAGGAGGUACGAAGGCUACAAAGAAAACCAGGCCUAUGUUCUUAUAUUUUACAAUAGGAAUGAAGUGCGUGAUGAUUUUUUUAGAGUGCUAAUAGUAGCUUCCUUUUUUUUUGUUUGAACUUCAUUGGCUAAUGUUAAUAUUUUCUAAUCCUAGGGAACAAAUAAAAUUAAAGGCAUCAAGUUACAGAUCCUUGAAGGCUUUGAACCAGAUCAGAUAUGUCUGAAUGCUAAAAGCUUCUCAAAGAUGAAAAAUCUUCAAAUACUUUUUGUAAAUAGUAAUGUGCGCCUGUCUGGAGAAAUUGAUUAUCUCCCUAACGAGUUGAGACUCCUUCAUUGGCAUGAAUAUCCAUCACAAAUUUUGCCCAAAUGGAAGUUGCAAACCUGGGAAUCGGAGAUAGAGGUUUCAGACCUCCUUUCUUAUUUUCACUAUUAGGGUUUCUUCCUUUAUAUAUAUAUAUAUAUAUAUUUUUUUUUUUUUUUAAAUUUUCUUCCAGAUUUUAUGUUUUUUCAAUUUUCUUUUUAUUUUUAAUAUUAGUUAAAAUCCACAUAAGGAUCCAAGUCACUUAAUGAAUAAAUAAGAAGCCUUGGAUAUUAUAAAAUCUAAAGGCUACAAAGAAGUGUAAAAAUGUUUGUCAAAAUAUUUGUCCCUUGAUCCUAUCCCUAUAUAUAUAUAUAUGUAUGUAUGUAUUUUGACGGGAUGUUAUUAUACAUAUAUAAAUAUUUUCAACUUUAUGUUUUAUAAAAGCAGUAUAUUAUAUUAUUGUAAUGAAUGAGAAGGAAAGUUUAAGUUUGGAGGCAUGAAAAGAGGAAUCAUUGCAAUUCAAUCACGACGGAAUGACAAUUUUAUGCAACCGCUCUAGCUUGAUUUCUUCAUUAUAUAUACUUUCUUCCUAUCUUUUGGAGUAUAUUAUGUAUAGCAAGUGAUUUCAAAUUUCAGGGAUGAAUUUUUUUUUCAAGGUGGCUAGCUUUUGACAACCAGUCCAUAACUUUAUGAUUUUAUUAAUUUUUAAAUGAGUGAAUUGACAAAAAUACCCUCGAGGCUAGAGUGUUGACUUUCGUUGACCGCCUUUCGUGACGCGUACGAGUUAUUAUUUUACCGUACUCUCGAAGUUCUUGACGGGACAAUCGCGUAAGCGUAAUCUGAAUCGAAACCGAAGUUACAAUAGGGGUUUUACGGAACUACAAAUCCGAAAAGUACUUUUGUAAAAAUGACUAUUUAUUAGUUUAUAUAUCUCUCAUAGUCAUUGUUAUUAAUAUUUUAUUAUUGGGUGAGAGAAAUGAAGGAAAUGAGAAUGAUGGACAGAGGAAAGAAGAAAAGAGGGGGUUGCUGCCCAAUCAGAGGAGAGAAAUGAGGAAAGUGAGAUUUAGUCGGAAAGGAAGAGAGGAUGAAAGACCAACCAAUCAGAAAGAAAAGAAAGGAGAAAAACUGCCCAAUCAGAAGAGAGGAAAGGAGGGGAAAUGAGGAAGGAGAAAAUGACAAUAAUUGGUCAGGUUCCCUUUCGACCCGCGACCCGGUUGUGACCGGUCAGUUUCUCCGGCGAAAUUCAUCGCUUUUCCGAUGAAUUGGGUUGAUCCACCACUCCCAAUCAUUAUCUCGGCCUUUCCUCUACCAUUUCCACACCAAAUUUGAGGAGAUUGGGUUCAGAAUUGUGGGAAAUUUGCACCGAUGGAUGCAACGGGCUUCGGGGUGACGAUCCAUCAAAUUCGAAGGUAACUCUACCAACCACCACCACCAAUAGACUCCCCUCAACCCCAGGAACAAGACCCAACCGGUGGUAGGGGCGACGGAGCACCGACGAUGGCGAAUCAAAGCUCACCUAUUCUAGGGUUUCCGACGGGUGCAAGCUAAAUUGGAGCUUUCCCCAGCGAAAUUGGACUUGGCCACAUAUAUAAAACUUGUUUUACUCAUUGAGAUCUUCAUUUCUAUGAAAUUUGGUAAUUUUUGGAAAUAGUUGAAUUUUCCGGCGAGUCGGGGCGGCCAACCACCGUAUGCGGCGACGAGUGGGCAGAGACACCACUUGACCUCCCUAGGCUAAAAUGGGUGCCCCGAUUCCAUAUUAGACAUCCGAUUGGUGAAAUUCCGUUGUUCGAUUAUAUUUCCGUUAAGGACCGCCACUUGGUUAUUAUAUGAUUCGACGAUUCGACCAUUGAGUUGUCACCAAACUUUAAUAUGUAAUAGUACAUAAUAUUUAAGGACAUUAGAAACUGACGGAUUAGAAAUCUGAUGUACAGAUCUUCCCAGAUGGGUUUUCAAAGUUUGUAAAUCUUAACAUCGGCCGCCACUUAAUUUUAGCGAUUGGCGGAGAUUCGACCGUUGAAUCAUUCUGAAAAUUUAGGAUGUUGUUCUAGAAGCUUAUUGAAACUCUUGGGAAUUUACAGAUCAGAAAUCCGAGUUGUGGAUCUUCUAGAUUGAGUUACGUAGGGUUAUGGAUCUUACCGUCGACCUUUAACCGACAGUUGACUUUUGGUCAAUGGGUUACAAAUCAUUCUAGAACAUCCUUGGGGAUGUGUUUUAUGUAAGUUACGUGUUCUAUGGAUAAGAAUUCUAAGACAUGAUUUGAUAUUUGUUCUAGGCGACGAUCGUUCGUGUUGCCUUGAUAUUUGUGUUAGGGAGUUGUAGCGCGGACUUCAAGUCAGUUAGUUUUUUCUUUUAUAUGGUAUAUGCAUAUUUGUUAGUUUCCAUUUAUACAUUGAAAGAUAAUUUACUACAUAUGCCUAGCUUAGACUAAUGCUUAUAAGAAUUAGUGAAAUAACAGAAAAUUACGAAGAGAUCAUAAAUCCUACGGGAUGCAUAAAUAUGUGUAUGUUUAUUGAUGCCAUGAUUAUACCUACGGUUAUGAAUGAUAUUAUGUUGAUUAGAACUAUCGAACCACUAUGGCAUGACUAUAUUUAUGUUUUAUACUCAUCGUUUGCUGCACCGAUGUUAGUGCUCGUCGAGGGCCAGGGCCAAUCUUUCAUGUGUAUGUUCACAUAUGCACCGCACGCUCGCCUUGGAUCCAAGUAGGUGCUAGUCCUGUCAUAUAGGUUGCAAUAGGCAACUCCAACUCGUAUGUGAUCGCGAAUAGCGCUAGUCUUCACUUGCUUAUAGCACUAGAACGUAUAUCACUAUUACACACAGUCCUGUUCAUGUCAGAAUAACUUUGCAUGAACUUGUGUGUCAGCAUGUGUCGAUGAACACUUGGUUUGAUAUGUUUGCUUAUGUGAAAGUAUACGAUUACUGACAUCAUGCACUUAUAUAUGAACUAUUGUGCCGUAUUGAUAUCUUGAUAUUUUGCAGGCUAUGGUGAGUAUUUUCAUACUAUAUGUAGCAUGUAUAUCUUAGAAACUAUACAUAUUUUACGACGAGGGGUUAUAACGUUUUCAAAGGUUUUUAUUAAAACUUUAUUUUCAGGCCUACUCACCCUUGUAUUCCCCCUUCUAGAUUUUAGUAGCUGAGCUUUCUUAUCGAUGAGGAUUCUUGACAAACCUUGGUGUAGACGAUUACCUUCGAUGGUAUAAUUCUCACCCUAUCUUAUUGUAUUGUACUUAUGCUCUGACAUCACGUGUGUAAUGGGUUCAUUCCCACUCACAACGUACUUUUAUAUUUAGGCACUUUUGGGUUUAAAUUUAUUCACAUAUUCCACCACACUAAACUUUAUGGCUUCGUCACCUUCCAGGUGUCGGCCAGCACAACUCGAUUCGAAGUCCAAGUGGACAUUCUUGGUCGGGGUGGGUCAUGAAGCAUUUUCGACGGCUGGUCGAAAAAAAAAGUAUUUCCAAUGGAUCAAUUUGCGAUGCCCAACGAGGGCUUUUUCCCGUCGUAAACAUGAAUUUGC
This 8855-nucleotide long non-coding RNA is filed under the name Malus domestica (apple). RNAcentral's name for it is "long non-coding RNA (MDOM_LNC016736)". Lineage: Eukaryota; Viridiplantae; Streptophyta; Magnoliopsida; Rosales; Rosaceae. The record is from RNAcentral.